CAAGAAUUCCCCAACAUACCAAAAAGUUUCGAUCUUGAAUACGCACGGUAGGGAACCGUUUAGCAAGCCGUCGCAAUUUGGGCUAGACAAAUACAUAUGUAGCGUGACUGUGUACUACUGACAGCGGGUCUAGCAUCUCAUAACAGAUUCGUAUUCAAGAGUGUAUAUUUCGGCGAUACCGACAAGAAAACGCUCUCUCAAUGGCGGGGGUGGUAGACAUCGAUAGCGAGCAUCAGAUGAAGGAGUACUUUCGUAUUCUCGACACGAAGAUUAUCGGCUAUAUACCAUACGAUGAGUUUCAUCUGAUCAUCAAAGGCUUCCAGGGGGAAAUCUCGCUGACAGACGAGGAAGUCACCAACGUUUUAGACGUCGUCGACAACAACAAGGAUGGAAGAAUUACAUUUAAUGAGUUUUACAAGUUUAUGUGUGCUGACUAGCUGAGACGCCAUGAGUCCCGGAACACCGCCGAACAGUGACAAAGACACUAUCAUACAACUGCGACCUGUGCUAGCUGAAAGUACUCAUACUGUUUAGAAUUCAAGAUGGCUGAUAACUGUGUUCAACUUGUCUUCUGAUUGGCUACCCUCGUUAUCACGUGACCCCGCCUCAAUGAUGUCAUACCCUCGGAAAGUUACCUGUUCCAGAGUCUAGCCCGAUAACACUCCUAUAUCACCAGGUGGAUGAUUUUCCUCUAUUUACAUGGUUAUACGUAUAUAUUAUAUAUUUUGUACCUUUUUGAAAUAAACAUAAGCUAUACACAUAUUUAUUGAAACGUUAACUCCAACUAAUACGGAAUAUAUUUUAUGUGAAAUUAACAAUUUUGAUUGUCAGUGUAUGGCCUUGUGACGUUACUUUGUCUUGAUAUUGUCCAGGAAGCCAUGCAAUGUAUUACACAUGUCUUUUGUGAAUAUAUAACUGACGGAUUAUUAUCACAAGAGCCUAGUAAUUGUGUAAAACAUUAUGUAAUACAAAUAAUAGAAUAGUUCCCGAUGGUGUUGUUUCGUUUAGUGUCAGAGAGUUGAAAUAGAAUGAAAAUGACACGGAAGGACACGAGUACCUUGUCUAACACCACUUGUUAAAAGACGAAUUUCUGUAUAAAAACGAAAUGGUAACAUAUUUUGCAUAAAAUGCACUUCUUUACUAAAACUGAAAAUCAAUUAAUAUGAUUCUUUAUGAUCUGAAAUGUCAUAUAUAAGACCAAUGUGACACAUGUGUCUCAUAGGUGUGGGUUAUUUUAUGAAAGCAAGGGUCAAUAUAUGUUAUCUUUGUAUGUUGUCAUGGCAAUGCAUUCAUUCAAAGGGAGACAAUGCAUGCAUAUGCUGAAAGGACAUUGCUACUGGAGAUCAUAUUUACAUAUUUAUUUUCGAGGGUUUUGACUCGGAUGUAAACUUACCGUCACCAGAACCCAUGGUACAUACCCAUUACAACUACAAGUAAAUAUUUAGAAGUA
This 1450-nucleotide unclassified non-coding RNA is filed under the name Haliotis rubra (blacklip abalone). RNAcentral's name for it is "troponin C, skeletal muscle-like, transcript variant X1". Lineage: Eukaryota; Metazoa; Mollusca; Gastropoda; Lepetellida; Haliotidae. The record is from RNAcentral.